RNAcentral lists this ribosomal RNA (789 nucleotides) under Badhamia macrocarpa. Its description in RNAcentral is "eukaryotic LSU rRNA". The stretch from base 197 to 789 matches the Rfam family "Eukaryotic large subunit ribosomal RNA", at positions 1 to 633 of the family's 3401-position model. The record is from RNAcentral. Lineage: Eukaryota; Evosea; Eumycetozoa; Physariida; Physaraceae.
UGAAGAACGCAGCGCAUUGCGAUAAGUUUUGUGAAGUGCAGAAGUGAAUAUCAAUUUUUGAACGCACAUUGCGCCUUUUCGUAUUCCAAAAGGCAUACCUGUUUGCGCGUUGUUUCUCUAUGAGAUUGCAAGAUUAUUGCUUUCUUGAAAUAUAAAAGUAAUCAAAUAAGUUUCAAACAACUAAUUUUAAUAAAAUGAACCUCAGAUCAGGUAGGACUAGCCGCUGAACUUAAGCAUAUCAAUAAGCGGAGGUAAAGAAACCAACAGGGAUUGCCUUAGUAACGGCGAGUCAAGCGGCAAGAGCUCAAAUUUGAUAUCGGCCUCCAGGUCGAGUUGUAAUUGGCAGAUUGUAUCUUUAGAGGUUGAGUAAAGUCUGUUGGAACACAGCGCCUUAGAGGGUCAGAGCCCCGUAAAGUCAUGUCUAAUUGUAAGAUACUCCCAAAGAGUCGAGUUGUUUGGGACUGCAGCUCUAAGUGGGAGGUAAAUUCCUUCUAAAGCUAAAUAUUGGCGAGAGACCGAUAGCGAACAAGUACAGUGAUGGAAAGAUGAAAAGAACUUUGAAAAGAGAGUGAAAAAGUACCGGAAAUUGUUAAAUGGGAAGGGUACUAAAUCAGACCUGGAGUUGUGUGCUCAGUCAUGUUUCGGCCUGGUAUUCGCACAACUCUUGGCCAAGGUGGGAUAGUUGGGAAGGAACAAGCAUUUGGAACGUGGUCCCUCGGGGUGUUAUAGCCAAGUGUAAUCCUUCCACAGCUUUCUCAGGACUGCGGUUCGUGCUAGGAUCUUGCCGUA